This 355-nucleotide unclassified non-coding RNA is filed under the name soil metagenome. RNAcentral describes it as "partial contains 5.8S ribosomal RNA, internal transcribed spacer 2, and large subunit ribosomal RNA". The stretch from base 1 to 120 matches the Rfam family "5.8S ribosomal RNA", at positions 35 to 154 of the family's 154-position model. The record is from RNAcentral.
GAUGAAGAACGUAGCGAAAUGCGAUAAGUAGUGUGAAUUGCAGAAUUCAGUGAAUCAUCGAAUCUUUGAACGCACAUUGCGCCUUCUAGUAUUCUGGGAGGCAUGCCUGUUUGAGCGUCAUUAAACCUCUCUCAAGUAUGAUUACUUGGAUGUGAAGGAAGAGUACCUUAAACUUAAGGAGUGUUCUCCUUUGAAAUUGAUUAGCAGAUGGUAAUGUUAUUAAAUCCCUGAUGUUGUAAGAAAUGGGGGGGGGGUGGGGGGGGGGUGGGUGGGGGGGGGUGGGGGGGGUGGUUGUGGUUGACCUCAAAUCAGGUAAGGAUACCCGCUGAACUUAAGCAUAUCAAUAAGCGGAGGA